RNAcentral lists this ribosomal RNA (51 nucleotides) under Gnetum montanum. RNAcentral describes it as "partial 18S ribosomal RNA". It matches the Rfam family "Eukaryotic small subunit ribosomal RNA", at positions 1781 to 1831 of the family's 1831-position model. The record is from RNAcentral. Lineage: Eukaryota; Viridiplantae; Streptophyta; Gnetopsida; Gnetales; Gnetaceae. RNAcentral also lists the same sequence under 4 other names.
AGGAGAAGUCGUAACAAGGUUACCGUAGGUGAACCUGCGGUAGGAUCAUUG